GUGGGUAUAGCUCAGUGGUAGAGGACAUGCUUCGUAUUCAUGAGAUCCUGGGUUCAAUCCCCAGUACUUCCA
This 72-nucleotide transfer RNA is filed under the name Camelus bactrianus (Bactrian camel). It matches the Rfam family "tRNA". From Rfam's summary of the family: Transfer RNA (tRNA) molecules are approximately 80 nucleotides in length. Their secondary structure includes four short double-helical elements and three loops (D, anti-codon, and T loops). Lineage: Eukaryota; Metazoa; Chordata; Mammalia; Artiodactyla; Camelidae. RNAcentral also lists the same sequence under 2 other names. The record is from Rfam by way of RNAcentral.